RNAcentral lists this ribosomal RNA (248 nucleotides) under uncultured bacterium. RNAcentral's name for it is "partial 16S ribosomal RNA". It matches the Rfam family "Bacterial small subunit ribosomal RNA", at positions 88 to 339 of the family's 1533-position model. The record is from RNAcentral.
CUUGAGAGUGGCGAACGGGUGAGUAAUAUAUCGGAACGUGCCCAGUCGUGGGGGAUAACGUAGCGAAAGUUACGCUAAUACCGCAUACGAUCUAUGGAUGAAAGCGGGGGACCGUAAGGCCUCGCGCGAUUGGAGCGGCCGAUGUUAGAUUAGGUAGUUGGUGAGGUAAAGGCUCACCAAGCCUACGAUCAGUAGCUGGUCUGAGAGGACGAUCAGCCACACUGGAACUGAGACACGGUCCAGACUCC